This 369-nucleotide ribosomal RNA is filed under the name uncultured Psychrobacter sp. RNAcentral describes it as "bacterial SSU rRNA". It matches the Rfam family "Bacterial small subunit ribosomal RNA", at positions 446 to 813 of the family's 1533-position model. Lineage: Bacteria; Pseudomonadati; Pseudomonadota; Gammaproteobacteria; Moraxellales; Moraxellaceae. The record is from RNAcentral.
CUCUAGGGUUAAUACCCCUAGACGAUGACAUUAGCUGCAGAAUAAGCACCGGCUAACUCUGUGCCAGCAGCCGCGGUAAUACAGAGGGUGCAAGCGUUAAUCGGAAUUACUGGACGUAAAGCGAGCGUAGGUGGCUUGAUAAGUCAGAUGUGAAAUCCCCGGGCUUAACCUGGGAACUGCAUCUGAUACUGUUAGGCUAGAGUAGGUGAGAGGGAAGUAGAAUUUCAGGUGUAGCGGUGAAAUGCGUAGAGAUCUGAAGGAAUACCGAUGGCGAAGGCAGCUUCCUGGCAUCAUACUGACACUGAGGCUCGAAAGCGUGGGUAGCAAACAGGAUUAGAUACCCUGGUAGUCCACGCCGUAAACGAUGUC